This 200-nucleotide ribosomal RNA is filed under the name uncultured bacterium. RNAcentral describes it as "partial 16S ribosomal RNA". It matches the Rfam family "Bacterial small subunit ribosomal RNA", at positions 28 to 223 of the family's 1533-position model. The record is from RNAcentral.
GAUGAACGCUAGCGGCAGGCUUAAUACAUGCAAGUCGAGGGGCAGCGCAGUGUAGCAAUACAUGGGCGGCGACCGGCAAACGGGUGCGGAACACGUACAGAACCUUCCUUUUAGCGGGGAAUAGCCCAGAGAAAUUUGGAUUAAUACCCCAUAGUAUAUUGAGUAGGCAUCUAUUUAAUAUUAAAGAUUUAUCACUUAAA